Molecule: ribosomal RNA, 451 nt
Filed under: uncultured bacterium
Lineage: Bacteria
Description: partial 16S ribosomal RNA
Rfam family: Bacterial small subunit ribosomal RNA
Source: RNAcentral
GUGGGGAAUAUUGGACAAUGGGCGGAAGCCUGAUCCAGCCAUGCCGCGUGUGUGAAGAAGGCCUUUUGGUUGUAAAGCACUUUAAGCGAGGAGGAGGCUCCUUUAGUUAAUACCUAAAGUGAGUGGACGUUACUCGCAGAAUAAGCACCGGCUAACUCUGUGCCAGCAGCCGCGGUAAUACAGAGGGUGCGAGCGUUAAUCGGAUUUACUGGGCGUAAAGCGUGCGUAGGCGGCUUUUUAAGUCGGAUGUGAAAUCCCUGAGCUUAACUUAGGAAUUGCAGUCGAUACUGGAAAGCUAGAGUAUGGGAGAGGAUGGUAGAAUUCCAGGUGUAGCGGUGAAAUGCGUAGAGAUCUGGAGGAAUACCGAUGGCGAAGGCAGCCAUCUGGCCUAAUACUGACGCUGAGGUACGAAAGCAUGGGGAGCAAACAGGAUUAGAUACCCCUGUAGUCC